RNAcentral lists this ribosomal RNA (500 nucleotides) under uncultured bacterium. RNAcentral's name for it is "bacterial SSU rRNA". It matches the Rfam family "Bacterial small subunit ribosomal RNA", at positions 28 to 528 of the family's 1533-position model. The record is from RNAcentral.
GAUGAACGCUGGCGGCGUGCCUAACACAUGCAAGUCGAGCGUGAACCGUCUGAAUGAAACUUCGGUCGAGUGAGGAUGGGGAAAGCGGCGGACGGGUGAGUAACGCGUAGGCAACCUGCCCCGUACAGAGGGAUAGCCUCGGGAAACCGGGAUUAAGACCUCAUAAUACCAUUAUCUCACAUGUGGUAAUGGUCAAAGAUUUUAUCGGUAUGGGAUGGGCCUGCGUCUGAUUAGCUGGUUGGUGGGGUAACGGCUCACCAAGGCGACGAUCAGUAGCCGACCUGAGAGGGUAAUCGGCCACAUUGGAACUGAGACACGGUCCAAACUCCUACGGGAGGCAGCAGUGGGGAAUAUUGCACAAUGGGCGAAAGCCUGAUGCAGCAACGCCGCGUGAGCGAGGAAGGCCUUUGGGUCGUAAAGCUCUGUCGAGGAGGAAGAUAAUGACGGUACUCCUCGAGGAAGCCCCGGCUAACUACGUGCCAGCAGCCGCGGUAAAACGU